CCUACGGGAGGCAGCAGUAAGGAAUAUUGGUCAAUGGACGCAAGUCUGAACCAGCCAUGCCGCGUGAAGGAUGAAGGUCCUCUGGAUUGUAAACUUCUUUUAUAGGGGACGAAAAAAGGGAAUUCUUUCUCGUCUGACGGUACCCUAGGAAUAAGCACCGGCUAACUCCGUGCCAGCAGCCGCGGUAAUACGGAGGGUGCAAGCGUUAUCCGGAUUUACUGGGUUUAAAGGGUGCGUAGGUGGGUCUGUAAGUCAGUGGUGAAAUCUCCGGGCUUAACCCGGAAACUGCCAUUGAUACUAUAGGUCUUGAAUACUCUGGAGGUAAGCGGAAUAUGUCAUGUAGCGGUGAAAUGCUUAGAUAUGACAUAGAACACCAAUUGCGAAGGCAGCUUACUACGGGGUCAUUGACACUGAGGCACGAAAGCGUGGGGAUCAAACAGGAUUAGAUACCCUGGUAGUCCACGCCCUAAACGAUGGAUACUCGACAUCAGCGAUACACUGUGUGUNUGAGCGAAGACAUAAGUAUCCACCNCGGAGUACGAUCGCAGAUAGAACGUACAAUAGAAGUUAGUACGGCGUGAGACGUAGACCGACGGACGACGACGAGGGAGGAGGG
Molecule: ribosomal RNA, 616 nt
Filed under: uncultured bacterium
Lineage: Bacteria
Description: bacterial SSU rRNA
Rfam family: Bacterial small subunit ribosomal RNA (bases 1-531)
Source: RNAcentral